This 292-nucleotide ribosomal RNA is filed under the name uncultured bacterium. RNAcentral's name for it is "partial 16S ribosomal RNA". The record is from RNAcentral.
GGACUACCCGGGUUUCUAAUCCUGUUUGCUCCCCACGCUUUCGCACCUCAGCGUCCAGUAUGAGCCAGUGAGCCGCCUUCGCCACUGGUGUUCUUCCGAAUAUCUACGAAUUUCACCUCUACACUCGGAAUUCCACUCACCUCUCUCACCUGCUAGCGAUGCAGUCUCAAAGGCAAUUCUGGAGUUGAGCUCCAGGCUUUCACCUCUGACUUGCAAAGCCGCCUACGUGCGCUUUACGCCCAGUAAUUCCGAACAACGCUAGCCCCCUCCGUAUUACCGCGGCUGCUGGCAC